AUACGGAGGAUGCAAGCGUUAUCCGGAUUUAUAGGGUUUAAAGGGUGUGUAGGCGGGAAUGUAAGUCAGUGGUGAAAGCCCGCAGCUCAACUGCGGAAUUGCCAUUGAUACUGCGUUUCUUGAGUAUAAUUGAGGUGGGCGGAAUGUGUCAUGUAGCGGUGAAAUGCAUAGAUAUGACACAGAACACCGAUUGCGAAGGCAGCUCACUAAAUUAUUACUGACGCUGAGGCACGAAAGCGUGGGGAGCGAACAGGAUUAGAUACCCCGGUAGUCC
RNAcentral lists this ribosomal RNA (274 nucleotides) under uncultured bacterium. RNAcentral describes it as "partial 16S ribosomal RNA". It matches the Rfam family "Bacterial small subunit ribosomal RNA", at positions 523 to 796 of the family's 1533-position model. The record is from RNAcentral.